AUGGUCUCCGUGGUGCCCGACCUGGCCUCUGAGGUUAACGACGCGUCCGUGUCGCCGCUGUACUUGGCGGUGAUGAGCAGGUCGGUGCGAGCCGUCAAAGCUAUAACGACCAGGUGCGGCGAUGCGUCGGCUGCUGGCCCGAGCUCGCAAAACGCUCUGCACGCCGCCGUCUUCCAGGGCUCAGAAAUGGUGAGGCUGCUACUGGAGUGGAAGCCAUGUGGCCCAUCCCUGGCUAGCCAAGCCGACGGCGCCGGCAGUACUCCGCUGCAUUUCGCUUCGUCGGACGGUGACCUCUCCAUCGUACGUGCCAUCCUGAGCGCCGUGCCGCCAUCCGCGGUGCACGCGCGGGACUCAGGCGGCCUCUCUGCUCUCCACGUCGCGGCAGGGAUGGGCCACGUCCGCGUCGCCGAGGCGCUGAUGAAAGCCUGCCCCGACGCCGCCGAGCUGAGGGACGACCGCGGCGGAACCUUCGUGCACGCCGCGGCCAGUGGAGGCCACUCCAAGGUCGUGCGGCUCGCCAUCAAGAGACCCACGCUGCACGGCAUCCUGAACACGCAGGACAGAGACGGCAACACGGCUCUCCACCUGGCGGUGGCCGCACGCGCGCCGGCCGUGGCGGAGGCCCUGAUGUGGAAGGGGAAAGUGCGAGCGGACGUCAUGAACAACGAGGGGCAGACGCCGUUGGAUCUCGCCGCGAAAUCGACCAGUUUCUUCUCCAUGGUAAGUCUGGUGGCGACACUGGCCGCAUUCGGCGCGCAGUCCCGUCCUCAAAGGCGGGACCAUGUCCAGCAAUGGAACAACCACGACAUAACAAAGGCGAUAGAGAAGACGUCGGACAGCCUCGCGGUGAUCGCCGUUCUCGUCGCUGGCGUCGCCUUCACCGCCGCCAACAACAUACCCGGCUCGUACGAGCAGGAGGGGAAUAAAAUAGGGAUGGCGGUCCUCCAGAAGAAGCCCAUCUUCAAAUGCUUCAUUAUCCUGGACAGCUUGGCCCUGGUGACCUCCGUGCUCGCCGUCGUCCUGCUCGUCUACGGCAAGGCCUCACGCUCCGCCGGGUCGUGGAAAACCUUCACGGCGGCGCUGCACUGCCUGUGGUUGUCCCUGAUCAGCAUGGUCCUGGCAUUCUAUGCGGCUCUGGCAGCCGUCACGAGCACCAGGGCGGUCCACGACAUCAGCUACUUCAUCAUAAACGGUGCCCUUUGCCUGAUGUUAGCCGUGGUCACGCAUUUGGUCAGCCCUCGCGUGUCCCACCACACGCUGUGGAAGUACCUUUGGCACCAAUGUGGCUUGAAAGGACGUCAAGGUGUCAUCCGUAGGCGUAUCAGACAGCAGUAUCCAGUCGUCGGUGCUUUCGUGCGCAACCUACUUCUGUUCAGGGCUGCAUAUUAUGUUGUAGUGCCUGCUGGUUUUGUCAUAGUCUGGAAACACGGUGACCGUGCGGCAAGAGAGAUGAAGCAAUUGAUGUAA
Molecule: ribosomal RNA, 1467 nt
Filed under: Triticum aestivum (bread wheat)
Lineage: Eukaryota; Viridiplantae; Streptophyta; Magnoliopsida; Poales; Poaceae
Description: partial small subunit ribosomal RNA
Source: RNAcentral